RNAcentral lists this ribosomal RNA (429 nucleotides) under bacterium. RNAcentral's name for it is "partial 16S ribosomal RNA". It matches the Rfam family "Bacterial small subunit ribosomal RNA", at positions 355 to 776 of the family's 1533-position model. The record is from RNAcentral.
UAGGGAAUCUUCCACAAUGGACGCAAGCCUGAUGGAGCAACGCCGCGUGCGUGAAGAAGGUUUUCGGAUCGUAAAGCUCUUUUGUUGGUGAAGAAGGAUAGAGGCAGUAACUGGUCUUUAUUUGACGGUACUCAACCAGAACGUCACGGCUAACUACGUGCCAGCAGCCGCGGUAAUACGUAGGUGGCAAGCGUUGUUCGGAUGUAUUGGGCGUAAAGCGAGCGCAGGCGGAAUGAUAAGUCUGAUGUGAAAGCCCACGGCUCAACCGUAAAACUGCAACGGAAACUGUCAUUCUUGAGUGCAGAAGAGGAGAGUGGAAUUCCAUGUGUAGCGGUGGAAUGCGUAGAUAUAUGGAAGAACACCAAUGGCGAAGGCGGCUCUCUGGGCUGCAACUGACGCUGAGGCUCGAAAGCAUGGGUAGCGAACAGG